Molecule: long non-coding RNA, 484 nt
Organism: Carassius auratus (goldfish)
Lineage: Eukaryota; Metazoa; Chordata; Actinopteri; Cypriniformes; Cyprinidae
Exons: 3
Source: RefSeq, a predicted model, not a curated record
GUCGCGCACAGGCAAGUAAAGCUUACUUCCACGCCACAAAAAUAAGGAGGCUAGUGCUGUAAAUUUAACGUAGAGCAACUCAGAUCAUAUUGUGAUAUAUGUGUCUUAAUUGCAGAUCCUGAGCAAGUUUGAGAUAAUUUUUGUAACACCAGAGGAAACCGGAAAAACGCCAGAAAUCGAACUUGGUCUGAAGUGUGUAAACGUGGUUGACACAACUCCAGCAAGUGUUCCAGUAUCAGUGUAGUGAAUGGAUGAACAAAUGAACGUGGCUUUGAAAACCGUAGAAAACAAAGACAAAAUAUCAGCACUUCACUUCAAGGGCUUCAUUUAACCCAGAAAGGCUUUGUCACCAGCCCCCAUGAAUAAUUCAUCCCGUCAGUUUGCGAUCGCAGAUGACAUGAGAAAGACACCAGAAACCCUUCUCAGAUAAACCGCUGGUAACCAGGUCAGUGUGUUCCUGUGUUUACUAAACACUGACAAUCAC